AAAAUACUGUGUAAUGACAAUUAUUGAAACAAUAAUAAUAUAAAUAUCAAUGCAGCAAUUAUUGAAUCAAUAAGAUAAAAUAAUGAACAGUAAUUACUGUAACAAUUAUUGAGUAGUGCCUUCUUACGUAAGGAUCAAUAAUUCAACAAUACUGUGCAAUACCGUGUGCUACUGUGCAACCACGCGUAUUACUGUAUUUUAACCACCAGGUAACCCAACAGUGUUAACGGUAGUAAUUUACGUCGUUAUUUAUAAAACUCAAUUUUUGUCGUUUUCCUUCAUCCAACCGUUUUCCGUUAUGGGGCCCACCAAUGACUGUGCCGUCGUACGGAGAUUCCCGAC
RNAcentral lists this long non-coding RNA (342 nucleotides) under Panax ginseng (ginseng). RNAcentral's name for it is "long non-coding RNA (PGIN_LNC016200)". Lineage: Eukaryota; Viridiplantae; Streptophyta; Magnoliopsida; Apiales; Araliaceae. The record is from RNAcentral.